This 305-nucleotide ribosomal RNA is filed under the name uncultured bacterium. Its description in RNAcentral is "partial 16S ribosomal RNA". It matches the Rfam family "Bacterial small subunit ribosomal RNA", at positions 508 to 807 of the family's 1533-position model. The record is from RNAcentral.
ACAGCAGCCGCCGCGGGAAUACGAAGGGUGCAAGCGUUAAUCGGAAUUACUGAGCGUAAAGCGUGCGUAGGCGGUGAGUUAAGUCUGCUGUGAAAUCCCCGGGCUCAACCUGGGAAUGGCAGUGGAUACUGGCUCGCUAGAGUGUGUCAGAGGAUGGUGGAAUUCCCGGUGUAGCGGUGAAAUGCGUAGAGAUCGGGAGGAACAUCAGUGGCGAAGGCGGCCAUCUGGGACAACACUGACGCUGAGGCGCGAAAGCGUGGGGAGCAAACAGGAUUAGAUACCCCCGUAGUCCCUGUCUCUUAUAC